UAGGGAAUAUUGGACAAUGGGGGCAACCCUGAUCCAGCCAUGCCGCGUGAGUGAAGAAGGCCCUCGGGUUGUAAAGCUCUUUUGUCCGGAAAGAAAAGCUUCGGGUUAAUACCCCGGGGUUCUGACGGUACCGGAAGAAUAAGCACCGGCUAACUUCGUGCCAGCAGCCGCGGUAAUACGAAGGGUGCAAGCGUUACUCGGAAUUACUGGGCGUAAAGCGUGCGUAGGUGGUUGUUGAAGUCUGAGGUGAAAGCCCUGGGCUCAACCUGGGAAUGGCAUUGGAAACUGGGCAGCUAGAGUGCGGUAGAGGGUAGUGGAAUUCCCGGUGUUGCAGUGAAAUGCGUAGAGAUCGGGAGGAACACCUGUGGCGAAGGCGACUGCCUGGACCAGCACUGACACUGAGGCACGAAAGCGUGGGGAGCAAACA
Molecule: ribosomal RNA, 427 nt
Filed under: uncultured bacterium
Lineage: Bacteria
Description: bacterial SSU rRNA
Rfam family: Bacterial small subunit ribosomal RNA
Source: RNAcentral